This 1356-nucleotide ribosomal RNA is filed under the name uncultured marine eukaryote. Its description in RNAcentral is "SSU rRNA". It matches the Rfam family "Eukaryotic small subunit ribosomal RNA", at positions 411 to 1779 of the family's 1831-position model. The record is from RNAcentral.
CACUUCUAAGGAAGGCAGCAGGCGCGCAAAUUACCCAAUCCUGACUCAGGGAGGUAGUGACAAGAAAUAACAAUAAACCGGCUUAUGCCGGUUUAAUUGGAAUGAGUACAAUUUAAACAUCUUAACGAGGAACAAUUGGAGGGCAAGUCUGGUGCCAGCAGCCGCGGUAAUUCCAGCUCCAAUAGCGUAUACUAAAGUUGUUGCAGUUAAAAAGCUCGUAGUUGGAUUUCUGUGGGGACGGGGCGGCCGGCCGCAACACGCGGUUCGAGCUAGCGCUUUCCCUACAUCCUGCCGCGAACCGUGCUACCAUUAAUUUGGUGGCGCCGGGGAUCGGCUCGAUUACUUUGAGAAAAAUAGAGUGUUCAAAGCAGGCCACAUGCCUUGAAUAAGUUAGCAUGGAAUAAUAACUAAGGACUUCGGUUCUAUUUUGUUGGUGUUCGGGACUGAAGUAAUGAUUGAUAGGGACAGUUGGGGCGGUCUGUAUUCCAAAGCGAGAGGUGAAAUUCUUAGACCUUCGGAAGACAAACAGCUGCGAAAGCGUUCCGCAAGGAUGUUCCCUUUGAUCAAGAACGAAAGUUGGGGGAUCGAAGACGAUCAGAUACCGUCGUAGUCUCAACUAUAAACUAUACCAGCUAGGGAUCGGCCAACGUUAUUUCAUACCGACUUGGUCGGCACCUUAUGAGAAAUCAAAGCAUCUGGGUUCCGGGGGGAGUAUGGUCGCAAGGCUGAAACUUAAAGGAAUUGACGGAAGGGCACCACCAGCCGUGGAGCCUGUGGCUUAAUUUGACUCAACACGGGAAAACUUACCAGGUCCAGACAUAGUAAGGAUUGACAGAUUGAUAGCUCUUUCUUGAUUCUGUGGGUGGUGGUGCAUGGCCGUUCUUAGUUGGUGGAGUGAUUUGUCUGGUUAAUUCCGUUAACGAACGAGACCCCAGCCUGCUAAAUAGCGCGCGUGAGCUUUGCUCGCGGCGAGCUUCUUAGAGGGACUAUGAUGCGCGAUAGCACAUGGAAGUUUGGGGCAAUAACAGGUCUGUGAUGCCCUUAGAUGUUCUGGGCCGCACACGGGCUACACUGGCGCCUGCAACGAGCAUAUCAGCUGGCCCGAGAGGGUCUUGGCUAAUCUUUUGAACCGGCGCCGUGCUUGGGAUUGACCUUUGCAAUUGUUGGUCAUGCAACGAGGAAUGCCUUGUAAACGCGAGUCAUCAGCUCGCAUUGAAUACGUCCCUGCCCUUUGUACACACCGCCCGUCGCUCCUACCGAUGAAUGUUCCGAUGAAAUUUUCGGAGAGCACCUGUGAACUUGGCUCUGCCUUGCGAACGGGAGGCUCAAAGUCACUUAAAUCUGAACAUUUCGAGG